Molecule: ribosomal RNA, 167 nt
Filed under: Odontobutis sinensis
Lineage: Eukaryota; Metazoa; Chordata; Actinopteri; Gobiiformes; Odontobutidae
Description: partial 12S rRNA
Source: RNAcentral
CACCGCGGUUAUACGAGAGGCCCAAGUUGAUAGAUAUCGGCGUAAAGAGUGGUUAAAAAAUAAUAAAACUAAAGACAAACACCUUCAAAGCUGUUAUACGCAACUGAAAGCAGGAAAAACUCCCACGAAAGUGGCUUUAAAACCAUGAACCCACGAAAACUGGGACA